RNAcentral lists this ribosomal RNA (253 nucleotides) under uncultured bacterium. Its description in RNAcentral is "partial 16S ribosomal RNA". It matches the Rfam family "Bacterial small subunit ribosomal RNA", at positions 524 to 776 of the family's 1533-position model. The record is from RNAcentral.
UACGGAGGGUGCAAGCGUUAUCCGGAUUUACUGGGUUUAAAGGGUGCGUAGGCGGGGAUGUAAGUCAGUGGAGAAAUACCGGAGCUUAACUUCGGAACUGCCAUUGAUACUAUAUGUCUUGAAUAUUGUGGAGGUAAGCGGAAUAUGUCAUGUAGCGGUGAAAUGCAUAGAUAUGACAUAGAACACCGAUUGCGGAGGCAGCUUGCUACGCAAAUAUUCACGCUGAGGCACGAAAGCGUGGGGAGCAAACAGG